RNAcentral lists this ribosomal RNA (301 nucleotides) under uncultured bacterium. Its description in RNAcentral is "partial 16S ribosomal RNA". It matches the Rfam family "Bacterial small subunit ribosomal RNA", at positions 509 to 808 of the family's 1533-position model. The record is from RNAcentral.
CAGCAGCCACGGUAAUACGUAGGUGGCAAGCGUUGUCCGGAAUUAUUGGGCGUAAAGCGCGCGCAGGCGGAUCAGUCAGUCUGUCUUAAAAGUUCGGGGCUUAACCCCGUGAUGGGAUGGAAACUGCUGAUCUAGAGUAUGGGAGAGGAAAGUGGAAUUCCUAGUGUAGCGGUGAAAUGCGUAGAUAUUAGGAAGAACACCAGUGGCGAAGGCGACUUUCUGGACGAAAACUGACGCUGAGGCGCGAAAGCCAGGGGAGCGAAUGGGAUUAGAUACCCCUGUAGUCCCUGUCUCUUAUACC